UGGGGAAUAUUGGACAAUGGAGGGAACUCUGAUCCAGCAAUUCUGUGUGUGUGAAGAAGGUUUUAGGACUGUAAAACACUUUUAGUAGGGAAGAAAAAAAUGACGGUACCUACAGAAGAAGCAACGGCUAAAUACGUGCCAGCAGCCGCGGUAAUACGUAUGUUGCGAGCGUUAUCCGGAAUUAUUGGGCUUAAAGGGCAUCUAGGCGGUAAGACAAGUUGAAGGUGAAAACCUGUGGCUCAACCAUAGGCUUGCCUACAAAACUGUUGAACUAGAGUACUGGAAAGGUGGGUGGAACUACACGAGUAGAGGUGAAAUUCGUAGAUAUGUGUAGGAAUGCCGAUGAUGAAGAUAGCUCACUGGACAGAAACUGACGCUGAAGUGCGAAAGCUAGGGGAGCAAACAGG
Molecule: ribosomal RNA, 407 nt
Filed under: Verrucomicrobiota bacterium
Lineage: Bacteria; Pseudomonadati; Verrucomicrobiota
Description: Verrucomicrobia bacterium partial 16S ribosomal RNA
Rfam family: Bacterial small subunit ribosomal RNA
Source: RNAcentral